UGCCAGCAGCCGCGGUAAUACGUAGGUGGCAAGCGUUGUCCGGAUUUACUGGGCGUAAAGGGAGCGUAGGCGGAUCUUUAAGUGGGAUGUGAAAUACUCGGGCUCAACCUGGGGGCUGCAUUCCAAACUGGAGAUCUAGAGUACAGGAGGGGAGAGUGGAAUUCCUAGUGUAGCGGUGAAAUGCGUAGAGAUUAGGAAGAACACCAGUGGCGAAGGCGACUCUCUGGACUGUAACUGACGCUGAGGCUCGAAAGCGUGGGGAGCAAACAGGAUUAGAUA
This 279-nucleotide ribosomal RNA is filed under the name uncultured bacterium. RNAcentral describes it as "partial 16S ribosomal RNA". It matches the Rfam family "Bacterial small subunit ribosomal RNA", at positions 506 to 784 of the family's 1533-position model. The record is from RNAcentral.